This 672-nucleotide ribosomal RNA is filed under the name Heteromydas bicolor. RNAcentral's name for it is "partial 16S ribosomal RNA". The record is from RNAcentral. Lineage: Eukaryota; Metazoa; Arthropoda; Insecta; Diptera; Mydidae.
AUGUCAACAUGAGCAAAUUUAGGGCUACAAGACAGUACUUCUCCAUUAAUAGAACAACUUACAUUCUUUCACGAUCACGCACUAUUAAUUCUAGUAAUAAUCACAGUACUAGUAGGAUACAUUAUAAUCAUACUAUUCUUUAACAAUUAUACCAACCGAUUCCUACUUCACGGACAAACUAUUGAAAUAAUCUGAACCAUUUUACCAGCUAUUGUUUUAUUAUUUAUUGCCUUCCCUUCAUUACGUCUCCUAUAUUUACUAGAUGAAAUUAAUGAACCAAUUAUUACAUUAAAAACUAUCGGUCACCAAUGAUACUGAAGCUAUGAAUAUUCAGAUUUUAUAGACUUAGAAUUUGAUUCCUACAUAAUGCCUAUUAACGAACUACCAUUAGAUGGAUUACGAUUACUAGAUGUAGAUAAUCGAGUAGUUUUACCAUUAAAUACUCAAAUUCGAGUACUAAUUACUGCAGCAGAUGUAAUUCAUUCAUGAACAGUUCCAGCCCUAGGAGUAAAAGUAGAUGGCGCCCCGGGGCGUCUAAACCAAACGAAUUUUUCUAUUAGACGUCCUGGAACAUUUUAUGGACAAUGCUCAGAAAUUUGUGGAGCUAACCAUAGCUUUAUACCAAUUGUAAUUGAAAGUGUUCCAGUUAACUACUUCAUUAAAUGAUUAUCA